CUAUGCGGUCGUCCUGUGGCCUAGUGGCCGCAUGACGCUUCCGGGAGGGCUUAGUGACCAGCGGAUUGUGUCCCUCUCAGGGCU
Dasypus novemcinctus (nine-banded armadillo) is the source of this 84-nucleotide unclassified non-coding RNA. NCBI's taxonomy places the organism in Eukaryota, Metazoa, Chordata, Mammalia, Cingulata, Dasypodidae. The record is from Ensembl.